This is a non-coding RNA of Pelobates cultripes (western spadefoot toad), 1389 nucleotides long. The record is from the annotation of a GenBank genome assembly. Lineage: Eukaryota; Metazoa; Chordata; Amphibia; Anura; Pelobatidae.
CCGAGCCCGCCCAUUGUGUGACAAUAGCGAAUUAAAAUUCCCUAUUGUUACUGAUCCUCCUCCUGGGUCCUCCCGCUUCCUGAUUGGCCGUAAGACAAACCCCACGCCAUUGGCCGAACUCAAUCUGGGCCUUCAGGGGAAAAUUACAACUGUUUUCAAGUUGUCAGACAAACGAGCUGCAUUUAAAGCCAAACUGGAGUUGUGGGGACGGCGCGUGAACAGAGGCAUUUUGGACAUGUUUCAGACAUUAGCGGGAUUUUAGGCGAGACUGAGCUUGAACAUUCACUCUGCCGGUUGGUGCACGAUCACCUGUCUUUGCUUUUAAAAGAGUUUGAGCGCUACUUCCCAACCACAAAAAACCCACGAACUGGUAAGGAAUGGAUCCGCGACCCAUUUGCCAACAAAUCAGGCGAAUCUAGCAUGUCUAUGCAAGAAGAACUACUGCUGGAGAUUGCAAAUGACGGUGGCCUUAAAACUAUGUUCGAGACAACAACUCUGCCGGUGUUCUGGAUUAAAGUCAUGGCGGAAUACCCUGAGAUUGCCACCACAGCACUUAAAUCCCUAUUGCCAUUUCCAACAACCUAUCUGUGUGAAGCGGGGUUUUCUGCAGUGACAGCAACCAAAACAAAACAGCGGAAUAAACUGGACAUAAGCAACACACUUCGGGUGUCAUUGUCUCCUAUUACCCCCAGAUGGAACCGUCUCGUUGCGAAGAAACAAGCUCAGGGUUCUCAUUGAUUUGGCAUUCUAGUGAGUUAAAUAAAAUCACUUUAUAUUCAUAUUUUGGUGUAGCUGUAUUUUAUUUUGAAGGCAUGUUUAAAUACAAUUAAAUUAAAAUUAUUAAAUCAAAACAAGCGGGCCACGGAAAAAUGAUCAAACGUUUACUGGUCCGCGGCGAUAAAAAGGUUGGGGAGCACUGCCCUAAAACAUUGCGGCUUGAACCCUAGUUGGUGGCGGAUAUGUCACGCAAGUCAACCGGCAUUCAGAGCUAAACUACAGCAGCGUGUGGACCAUUUUAAUAUAAUACAACGGGAUAAAUGCUUUGUUUGCCAAACUGCCCCAAUAGAUGGACAACGGGGCAUGCGAGGUAAUACAAAGCCUUGUGGUCAAACGGUGAUGCCAGCUCCACCAAGGGCUUGUACCCUAAUAAACUAUAAAAUAAGUGUGAUCUCCGCCUGGGGAGAUCUAGAAAUGCCGGCAAAAAUAAAUGGACAAAAUUUGGAGUAACCGUACAUAAAUUGAGAUGGCCAGUAUGGGAAUCUAAAUAGAGGGGAAAAGGAAACAGGGUAAGGAACCAUUAAACUUAUCAGUUCAAAAAAAAAAAGGCCCUCAAUUAUCCUAAUUGGACUAAAUCCAGAAAAUAGUAAUUAAAAUAAAAAUAAAGAAUCU